GGGGAUAUAGCUCAGUUGGUAGAGUGUUUGCCUUGUAUGAACAAGGCCCUGGGUUCAAUCCCCAGCACCA
Molecule: transfer RNA, 70 nt
Filed under: Ictidomys tridecemlineatus (thirteen-lined ground squirrel)
Lineage: Eukaryota; Metazoa; Chordata; Mammalia; Rodentia; Sciuridae
Description: Spermophilus tridecemlineatus (thirteen-lined ground squirrel) tRNA
Rfam family: tRNA
About the family: Transfer RNA (tRNA) molecules are approximately 80 nucleotides in length. Their secondary structure includes four short double-helical elements and three loops (D, anti-codon, and T loops). Further hydrogen bonds mediate the characteristic L-shaped molecular structure. tRNAs have two regions of fundamental functional importance: the anti-codon, which is responsible for specific mRNA codon recognition, and the 3' end, to which the tRNAs corresponding amino acid is attached (by aminoacyl-tRNA synthetases). tRNAs cope with the degeneracy of the genetic code in two manners: having more than one tRNA (with a specific anti-codon) for a particular amino acid; and 'wobble' base-pairing, i.e. permitting non-standard base-pairing at the 3rd anti-codon position.
Source: Rfam by way of RNAcentral